Molecule: long non-coding RNA, 1434 nt
Organism: Glycine soja
Lineage: Eukaryota; Viridiplantae; Streptophyta; Magnoliopsida; Fabales; Fabaceae
Exons: 2
Source: RefSeq, a predicted model, not a curated record
AUUCUUCCCUAUUUAGCCUCACCCCAAGUCCCUCUAUUUAUGAAACCAAUCUCCUCUCUGUUCCUUACUUCUUUGAUACCUCCUAUUCAAGCCCCCUCCUCUCUAAACAACAAACAGUUAUCUUUCUUUCUCAUCUUUACUGUGAAAAUCUGCAAAGCCUACCUUAUUCUUCCUCACUGCUAUGUUUUCCCAUGUUCUUGCAUCCACAGCUGACAUGACCAAACAAAUUACCAUCAUAACAUUUCACAUGUCAGGGAUAACUGGAUGUGAAACACUCCUGUGGAUUCUCAUUGCUGACUUUAUGUGGUACUGUAUGAUCAACUUGCUUCUUUUUGGACUAAGCCACUCAGCUGCUCGUUUGCUUCUUCAACUGCAUCAGUCAGCUGCUGCUCGUGUUACACGUUCACACCUUGAUCAGAUACCAAAUAUGGAACUGCAACCACUGCAAGCUCAGCCAGGUUUGGGCAGAAUAGCAGAGCAAGUAUAUUAGCAUAGCAAAAAUGCAUUCCUCGUCAUUAAUAUGUUUGCUAGUGGUAAGUGUGGCUUCUCGGGAGAAUUGAUGAAUGCAUCAAAGAUGCACUUGCUAUUGCUAGUACCAGUACAUCUAAUAAUUCUUAAUUGUUUGGUUUAAAUAGCUCCGGACUGUGGAAAAAGGAGUAUCCCGAACCUACACACCGAGGUAUUGACGGCUAUUCUCAAAUAUCGCAGAACAGAACAGAAUGGGAUAAGAUGAGAUAGAAUGCAAUAGAAACAAAGACAAGGGGAAAAUGAGUUAUCUACUCUUCUUAACGGUCAAAGCGAACCCUUUCAUUCAUUCCGAAUUACAGAUUUCGGAAUCAAUAAAAUCUCCCCAAGUAGGAUUUACGACAAGUCAGUUAACAGCUGACCGCUCUAGCCCCAGCGGGGAUGGAGCGAAAGAAGUUUUGAGAAUUCAAGAGAAGGUCACGGCGAGACGAACCAUUUCUAAUUAAUGAUAGGUGUCAAGUGGAAGUGUAGUGAUGUAUGCAGCUGAGGCAUCCUCCAGUAGACUUGAACCUUGUUCCUACAUGAUCCAAUCAAGUCGAUCAAGCACUAGUCAUCCAUUUUCAUUGUUCAACUCUUUGACAACAUGAAAAAACCAAAAACUCUGCCCCUCCUCUCUAUUUAUUCAAGGGAUGGAAGGGCAGAGGCCUUUGGUGUCCCCUCCAGUCGAGAAUUAGGGCCUCACAAUGAAUAGCCAAUAUAUUUGCUUUUAUCUCAUGCCUUUCUUCGGUUCAUGGUUCAAUAUUCUAGUGUCCUAGGCAUAGAGGAACCACACCAAUCCAUCCCGAACUUGGUGGUUAAACUCUAUUGCGGUCACGAUAUUUUAGGGGAGGUCCUGCAGAAAAAUAGCUCGGCGCUAGGAUGAUAAAAAGCUUAACACCUCUCAUUCUUAUUACUUUUUCAAUAUUAAAA